Molecule: ribosomal RNA, 207 nt
Filed under: uncultured bacterium
Lineage: Bacteria
Description: partial 16S ribosomal RNA
Rfam family: Bacterial small subunit ribosomal RNA
Source: RNAcentral
AGCGCAGGCGGGACGGCAAGUUGGAUGUGAAAAACUGAGGCUCAACCUCAGUCCUGCAUCCAAAACUGUUGUUCUUGAGUGGAGCAGAGGUAAGCGGAAUUCCGAGUGUAGCGGUGAAAUGCGUAGAUAUUCGGAGGAACACCAGUGGCGAAGGCGGCUUACUGGACUCUAACUGACGCUGAGGCUCGAAAGCGUGGGGAGCAAACA